CCUUGAUGAUGACUCCCGCACGCGUCUUACGCCUCGCGUCAACGCCAGACCUGAAAAGGUGAACCCACUGGUGUUGCCUUGGCAAUAAGGUGACGGUUUGUUGGGGUUACCAACAGUCUGAGAGGA
Small nucleolar RNA from Salarias fasciatus (jewelled blenny), 126 nucleotides. Its record names the gene SNORD22. It matches the Rfam family "Small nucleolar RNA SNORD22". From Rfam's summary of the family: U22 is a member of the C/D class of snoRNA which contain the C (UGAUGA) and D (CUGA) box motifs. U22 is encoded within the U22 snoRNA host gene (UHG) in mammals and has also been identified in Xenopus. NCBI's taxonomy places the organism in Eukaryota, Metazoa, Chordata, Actinopteri, Blenniiformes, Blenniidae. The record is from Ensembl.